AUGCUACUCCCUCCGUUCGGAAUUACUCGUCCAAGAAAUGAAUGUAUCUAAAUGUAUUUUAGUUGUAGAUACAUUCAUUUUUGUGACAAGUAAUUCCGAAUGGAGGGUGUAUUUU
This is a non-coding RNA of Triticum urartu, 115 nucleotides long. Lineage: Eukaryota; Viridiplantae; Streptophyta; Magnoliopsida; Poales; Poaceae. The record is from Rfam.